Molecule: ribosomal RNA, 253 nt
Filed under: uncultured bacterium
Lineage: Bacteria
Description: partial 16S ribosomal RNA
Rfam family: Bacterial small subunit ribosomal RNA
Source: RNAcentral
UACAGGGGGUGCAAACGUUGCUCGGAAUUAUUGGGCGUAAAGCGCGCGUAGGCGGCUACCUAAGUCGGAUGUGAAAGCCCCUGGCUUAACUGGGGAAGUGCACCCGAAACUGGGUAGCUAGAGUGCAAAAGAGGGUCGCGGAAUUCCCGGUGUAGAGGUGAAAUUCGUAGAUAUCGGGAGGAACACCGGUGGCGAAGGCGGCGACCUGGGUUGACACUGACGCUGAGACGCGAAAGCGUGGGGAGCGAACAGG